RNAcentral lists this ribosomal RNA (497 nucleotides) under uncultured bacterium. RNAcentral describes it as "partial 16S ribosomal RNA". It matches the Rfam family "Bacterial small subunit ribosomal RNA", at positions 28 to 507 of the family's 1533-position model. The record is from RNAcentral.
GAUGAACGCUGGCGGCGUGCCUAAUACAUGCAAGUCGAGCGCUCAGACGAGCUGCUUGCUCCUCUGACGUUAGUGGCGAACGGGUGAGUAACACGUGGAUAACCUACCUAUAAGACUGGGAUAACUUCGGGAAACCGGAGCUAAUACCGCAUAUCUUGUUGAACCGCAUGGUUCUUCAAUGAAAGACGGCUUUGCUGUCACUUAUAGAUGGUUCCGCGUCGCAUUAGCUAGUUGGUAAGGUAACGGCUUACCAAGGCAACGAUGCGUAGCCGACCUGAGAGGGUGAUCGGCCACACUGGAACUGAGACACGGUCCAGACUCCUACGGGAGGCAGCAGUAGGGAAUCUUCCGCAAUGGGCGAAAGCCUGACGGAGCAACGCCGCGUGAAUGAAGAAGGUCUUCGGAUCGUAAAGCUCUGUUAUUAGAGAAGAACAAGUGAAUAAGUAACUGUGCUGGUCUUGACGGUACCUAAUCAGAAAGCCACGGCUAACUACGUG